Molecule: small nuclear RNA, 134 nt
Organism: Monodelphis domestica (gray short-tailed opossum)
Lineage: Eukaryota; Metazoa; Chordata; Mammalia; Didelphimorphia; Didelphidae
Gene: U2
Rfam family: U2 spliceosomal RNA
About the family: U2 is a small nuclear RNA (snRNA) component of the spliceosome (involved in pre-mRNA splicing). Complementary binding between U2 snRNA (in an area lying towards the 5' end but 3' to hairpin I) and the branchpoint sequence (BPS) of the intron results the bulging out of an unpaired adenosine, on the BPS, which initiates a nucleophilic attack at the intronic 5' splice site, thus starting the first of two transesterification reactions that mediate splicing.
Source: Ensembl
AUCACUUCUUGGCCUUUUGGCUAAGAUCAAGUGUAGAAACAUAGAUCAAUGAAUAAAGGACAAUUUUUCCAAUCAGAUCUUGCUUUUCUAAUACUUUGGGGAAAUGUAUUUUUCUCAAGUAAAGAUUAAUAAUU